This 669-nucleotide ribosomal RNA is filed under the name Triticum aestivum (bread wheat). Its description in RNAcentral is "partial small subunit ribosomal RNA". The record is from RNAcentral. Lineage: Eukaryota; Viridiplantae; Streptophyta; Magnoliopsida; Poales; Poaceae.
AUGGGGCGGAGGGAGAUCAUGGACCCCGGCAGCGGCGGGCCGAAGAAGAUCCUGGACCCCGGCAGCGGCAAGCCGAUGGAGAUCAUAGGCCUCGGCAGCGGCAAGCUCGAGGACUAUCCCUGCGUGAGGCAGCUCCGUAACCGGCGGCUCCUCACCUACCUCUGGCUCCAGGGCUUCGACACCGCCUACGACAGCGUCGUGCAUGAGUCGGAUGUGCAGCAGAUGAGCAGGCUGCAUCUGCGGCAGCUGGUGGUCUGGGGCCAGUGGAGAGAAGCCGUCAAGUACAUAAACCGCUUCCUGCCGCCGGCCGACGACCGGGGCGUCGAGACCCGUUCCCUUCUCUUAUUCCUCCACACGCUCUGGUCUCUGGCCAACGUCGCCGCGUGCUCAGCGGGCGGCUUCGUCAACGACUCCGUACGCCGCGACCUUCACUUCCUGACGAACCUUUGCUGCCGCAACGUCAAGCUCAACUCCAUCCUCCAAUACACGCUCCACUCACCGCAAUUCACGGCGUCCCUGGACUGGAAACUGGUGAGGGAGAAGGCAUCGUUGAUUGCCGAUGACUGGGCUCUUGAGACUCCUGAGUUAAGACGCAUGUUGCAAUUACCCGGUGGCCGGGGUCUCGCGCAGGACUUGCUUCCCAUCGGCCCCCUUCGUCCAAGGCGCCAC